GGGUUCGAUUCCGGAGAGGGAGCCCGAGAAACGGCUACCACUUCCAAGGAAGGCAGCAGGCGCGCAACUUACCCUAAUCUCGAUUCGAGGAGGUAGUGACAAGAAAUACCGAUGCGGGGACCCUACGGGUGCCGCGUUCGGAAUGAGUACGAUUCGAACCACCUAACGAGGAACGAUCGGAGGGCAAGUCUGGUGCCAGCAGCCGCGGUAAUUCCAGCUCCAAUAGCGUACGUUAAAGUUGCUGCAGUUAAAAAGCUCGUAGUUGAACGUUCGGGUUCCGCGGGACGGGGCCGCCCCGCGAGGGACGGCGCCGCCCCGGGGCUCGUGAUAUCUCAUCUCGCCGCCCGUCGCGAGGCGGACGGAGGGAUGGAUGAGGUUACCUGGAAAAAAUCGGGGCGAUCUAGGCGGGCGAACCUCGCCAACGAACGAUCGGACAUGGGAUAACGGAAGAGGGCGUCGGCUCGACUUCGUCGGUUCCUCGGGCCGAGGCACGUACGGUG
This 500-nucleotide ribosomal RNA is filed under the name uncultured eukaryote. RNAcentral describes it as "bacterial SSU rRNA". It matches the Rfam family "Eukaryotic small subunit ribosomal RNA", at positions 373 to 887 of the family's 1831-position model. The record is from RNAcentral.